AUAUUCCACAGAGCCGCCUAGGCCGCCUAGGCGGGCGCCGAGCGCCUAGGCACUGCCUAGCCCGAUUUGUCGAAAAUUUCCUUGUGAUUCUUUAUGUUAUCGGCUUGAUCUUGCCUUUUCUGUUGCCUACGUCAAUUCUGGUCAAGCAUGGAAUUGAAAAUUGUCGUUGAUGUUGUCUGCUAAAGAACAAAUAGCAUGCGAAGAUCACCUGUUAGACCCUUUUGUUGAGAACUUCGUACUAGAAAUCAAAGUCCACUUUGGCAUAUAUUGAACUUAUGCACAUGUGGUAUGCUCUGGAUUUAGCUGUUCUUGCGGUUGGAGUGAUGAAGGACCAUGCCUGGUGAAGUUUCCUGUUUUCCUUUGAAAUAUCAUGAUGGCGAAUGUCAUAAGUUCGCUUUUAAAUAUGGACGAUCUUUCUCUCAAUUUGGCUCAUUGUGCCUCACCUUGGAGCUAUUCUGAAUCGCAUUACACAUGUGCAUCAGAGCAAACUGAUCUAACACGUGAAGAAGGAAACAAAUUAGUUGUAUUUUUCACAGGGAACUACUUGAUAUAUUACAUCACUGUCUUCCUUCAACUAUAAGUUUAUAACUGAACUAGAUCAUGCUGGCGUAAGUAGGGGUGGAAACAAGCAUCGGAGUGGAGAGUGUUGAUUGCUAAACAUUUCAUUGACGAGUGGGAAUGGCAGUUGUCGAUUUUGCAGCAUCUUCUUUCAUUAUCUGAACGCCAGUGGCAGUGGAAAGAGGCAUUAACUGUAUUACGUCCCGCACCAUCUAAGCUACUUAACUUGUGUGCUGCAUCAAGGAUGAAGCCUCCCCUAAAGAAAGAAACAUCAAUGAAGCUUUAGUUACCCACUUCCAAGGAGCAUCUUGAGCAGGAAGAUUCGAAGGCUUUAGACUGAAACUAGCAAAAAUAUUCACGAGAUCUCUUUCUUCACUGUCUGCAUGAUUAUGUUCAACAACACAAGUGUUACCACAUAAAGGAAGGAAGGUAGGUUCAAUAAAUGACAAGAUAACAAAAUUACCAACCACAGUCACAACUGUGCUACACCUCGAUUGGAGUCAGUUAAAAUUGCAGGGUUAUAAAUUGAAGUGCUGGUACACCUCGACUUACCAACAUGUUAAUACCAAUGUUCGAAAAAUCACUAUGCAGUAAGGGGGCUACAGGCAAAGGCCCAACACCUAGAGGAGUAAUUG
Prunus mume (Japanese apricot) is the source of this 1193-nucleotide non-coding RNA. NCBI's taxonomy places the organism in Eukaryota, Viridiplantae, Streptophyta, Magnoliopsida, Rosales, Rosaceae. The record is from RefSeq and is a predicted model, not a curated record.